Molecule: long non-coding RNA, 3180 nt
Organism: Oreochromis niloticus (Nile tilapia)
Lineage: Eukaryota; Metazoa; Chordata; Actinopteri; Cichliformes; Cichlidae
Exons: 2
Source: RefSeq, a predicted model, not a curated record
ACAACAAAGAGCAACACAAGACCAUUCAGGUGCUCUUCUUACAGUUUGGUAAACAGCAUUUAGGUUUUGAAAGCCUGCGAUGCAUUUAAACACACAAGGCAACACGAAACCACAGUUUUGCAACCCAAAACAUAAAGUUACAAGAACCUAAUCCAGGCACCCCAUCAUCUUUGACUUAAUCCCUGCCUAGUAGUUUGGAAAAUUUGUAAACCUAACCUCAGAUCUGCAGUUGCUAAAUUCCUAAGAUUGUUUGCAUGCCCUUGGGGUGUGAUUAAAAUCUCUUAAAUCUCUCAUGUGCCAUUUCCCUGAGAGCGUCGCUGACGGGCCAGGCUGGCAGCUGAACGGGGUCGUUGGGCUUUCCUUAAUCGCAGUUCAGAGCAGAUCCAUUUUCCACAUGGUUAAGACGCAGCAUGCUGACCACGGGCAUCUUUAUCAUUCAGCACCUCCCCCCCUUCUUUCUUACUGCUGCACUACUACUCUGUCAUAACCAAAGAAAUAUUGACAGUCAUCUCUAAACUACUUCCCUCGCACCCUUUUAUGGAGCAAACUUCAUAGGCUCUUUCAUUUUGCUGUGAUUCAGCAGAAUUGAGUUUUUCUGUAAUCCAUUUCCUGCUAACUAAACAACAGAUUACUCUGGCUGGUGAUUACUUAUUGUUAGGCUAACAUUCGUUUCUAUCCGAUGCCCUUUUUACUUUGCAUUUGUGGACACGUGUGUUAACCACAAGCACCCACAAACACAGUCUGGACCUCCGUGCCAGCCCUGCAUGUCACACCCUGCUCCUUCAAUAACUGUACUGGGAGUUGUUCAACACCACAAAGGAGCAUGCCCCAUGCAGAGCUGGUUGAUAUGCGGUUAUAUGCAAGCGCAGAUAACACACUCGCAUUCUUCAGCGUACAAUUAAGUUUGUGCAACUGUUUACAUAAAAGGUAACACCUUCAUUAGCAGUUAGGCAAAGCUGAAAAACAGCCGGUCACACUUGACUCCCAAAAAGGAAACUAUUUUGGUAAUCAGUCAAUCAUUUGCUCUAUUGUCUGCAGCUAAACAGCAUAAAAUUAAUUAGUUUAAAUCUGCAACUGAAACUUUUCUCUGUUUUGUAUAACUGUAACCUGCAUGCAUUUGGAUUUUUCUGUAUCAUUUUAAACUUCAUAAAGUUAGACGUGACCUUAGGCAAACCCAACACCAAUGCAUCGUGUUAAAUCUAUUGUAUCUAGUGGGGUUUUGCAGCAUUUAUGAGGACACUGUGGGGCUCGGCGGCGAGGUGCAGGGUGCAGGGUGGACCCAAGCCUUCAAAUUGGCAAAUGCACAUAGUCAAAGUAAUGAAAGAGGUUAUUCAUUCACACAGAGUGAAACGAUUACAUGCAGACAGAAGGCACUCAUUCACACUAACCCAGGCAAAUUAUAUUCAUACAUGCAUGUGCACACAGACACAAGCAAACACAAGAAAAGCAACGGGGUCAUGUGCUCCAUUCAGACUUAUUCAGUUACACAAAGCACAGAGGACACUCCCAUUGAUUCGCUUACGGAAGUAGCUGCAAUGAGAAGAACCAGUGAAACACAGACAGUGCUGGGAAAGUAUGUCAUUUAUAGCAAAAGCCUCCUUUGCUUGUGUUGGACCUUACUCAUGCUGAAUCUGAGGCGUGUGCUGAACAUACUCACUAUUAAUCAUCACUGUGCAAGUACAAGUCUCCAUGUUCCACACAAACAGUCGAGGAAUAGAAAAGCAACACAGCACAGAAUCUCCUGUAUUUGUCAACAAAAUUCCUUCUUUUAUAAAUAAAACCAAACAUUUAAGAAGGUUCUGAGGGUAAAAAAAAUAAAACAAAGCUUAUGACUGUUGACUAAUUUAUCAAUCAUUACCUAAUUUUAGAUCAGUAAGCCAGUUGGUCAUUUCAAACCUUACUUCCUACACAUCGUGCCGUUUCUGCUAAGGCUGAACCGUCCCUUCCAGAAAUCUGCACCCAGUCAUUACCAGCCUGUUCAGCACUGACCCAGAUGAUACCAACAACUGCCUGCAUGGAAACUGUGAGUUGCCAGUGGGUUGGACAGACUGCGCCCACAUAAGCUGGGCUCACCAGCCACAAUAUGUCUGUAAGGGGUUGUUGGGGAGGAUAGAGCGUAUCCCAGCUGCCACAGGGAGAGAGACGGGGUCCACCUGGACAGGUCACCAGCAUGCCGCAGGACUGAGAGGCAGACGACCAGCUGCACUCACAUUCAGAUCUACGGGCGAUUUAGAAUCACCAAUCAACCGAACCCCACCGAGUCCCUGUCUUUGGACUGUGGGAGGAAGCCCGAGUACCCGGGGAGAGAACCUGUGCAGACACAGGGAGAACAUGCAAAGUGUACACAGAAGGGCCCCAGGUGGGUUAGAACCUGGUACACUCAGCUGUGAGGCUAACCCCCAUGCCACCGUGCUGCCUUUAAUCAGACUUUGAAAACACUGACACAUCACUUCACUUGUUUUCCUCUCCAGCUGGCCACGAAACAUGAUAUUCCACUCAUAUCGCCAACUAGAAAACAGCAGUAUCAUCGCACCUCCUCCCUGUGUUCUCUCACAGAGCAAAACAUUAUCAUUUACAUCUUUUAAAAACCACCUAGCGCCCAGCCUGAAGCAAUCUCACACAUCCAGCUGCGGUUUGUGGAUAAAGUCCUGCAUGUUGAACAGAACGGUACUGAUGAUGUCAUCCUGGAGCUGAUACACAGACAGGGGAACAGAUGCUGUGACACUACGACAGCAGCUGGGAUGAAGUACAGACACAUUAGUUUGAACCCUCAGCUAAAGCUUUCUAAACGACCUUUCUGAAUAAGACACGUUCAGGUGUUGGCUCGGAGAUCUUUGCACCGCCUUCACCUGACAGUGUUUGUGGUUUGACACUCACAGAAAUGUUUUAUCCCGUGUUAAGGGGAAAUUCUCUCGUUAAUUACUGCAGUAAACUGUUACUGCUCCUCUCACCGAUGAUGACUACAGGCCCGUAUGGAGCACAUCACCACCACUGCAGGCUAGCUCGGCAUACUUGGCAGCUUUCUUCUUUAAACAGCAGUUUACCGACAGUUGAAUGACAUCGGCAUGGCAUCACGCCAGAAACGCAUCUCAGCUGCUGUCAAACGCACAUUUGUAAAGCGAACAGAUUUCCUUCACUAGCUAACUGAGCGCAAACGACAGGCGGGCUAACUUAUCCACA